This 544-nucleotide ribosomal RNA is filed under the name uncultured bacterium. Its description in RNAcentral is "bacterial SSU rRNA". It matches the Rfam family "Bacterial small subunit ribosomal RNA", at positions 772 to 1319 of the family's 1533-position model. The record is from RNAcentral.
ACUCAAUAGAUACCCGGGUAGUCCACGCCCUAAACGAUGUCAACUAGUUGUCGGGGAUUAAUUUCCUUGGUAAACGCAGCUAAACGCGUGAAAGUUGACCGCCUGGGGAGUACGGUCGCAAGAUUAAAACUCAAAGGAAUUGACGGGGACCCGCACAAGCGGUGGAUGAUGUGGAUUAAUUCGAUGCAACGCGAAAAACCUUACCUACCCUUGACAUGGUCGGAACCCUGGAGAGAUCUGGGGGUGCUCGAAAGAGAACCGGCGCACAGGUGCUGCAUGGCUGUCGUCAGCUCGUGUCGUGAGAUGUUGGGUUAAGUCCCGCAACGAGCGCAACCCUUGUCAUUAGUUGCUACGAAAGGGCACUCUAAUGAGACUGCCGGUGACAAACCGGAGGAAGGUGGGGAUGACGUCAAGUCCUCAUGGCCCUUAUGGGUAGGGCUUCACACGUCAUACAAUGGUACAUACAGAGGGCUGCCAACCCGCGAGGGGGAGCUAAUCCCAGAAAGUGUAUCGUAGUCCGGAUUGCAGUCUGCAACUCGACUGC